This 412-nucleotide long non-coding RNA is filed under the name Brachypodium distachyon (stiff brome). RNAcentral describes it as "long non-coding RNA (BDIS_LNC003179)". Lineage: Eukaryota; Viridiplantae; Streptophyta; Magnoliopsida; Poales; Poaceae. The record is from RNAcentral.
AGGUGAUUUAGGAUUUGAACUUUCGAAAAAAGUUUAGUUUACUUCUGCGUAAUCAUUCACCCGCUCUAAUUGUCUAUCUCGAUCUCACAUUUACUCGACCGGCAAACACCAAUUGACACCAAAGGACUACAAUUAAAAAAAGCUCCAGUCGUGUAAAAAUAAGGACGUAAAAUAAAGGAUUUUUUAUUGGUUCCUAAUGAACUUGGAGAUGGAACACGCAGCAAAAAAGAAGCCAAUCAGUGGUCCAGCUUGAAAAAAAGAGGUACAGACGGGUCCAAUAUGGUCGAAUAAACAAACGAAAAAAAUUGAGGAUUAUCAAAACUUGGAUCGGCCAGAAAAAAAAAAUGACGACAUCGCAACAUGAACAGAUAAUCAAAAUAACCUAUUCCUGAUCUUGGGGUGCCGCUCAGCC